GGGCCUAUGGUCUAAUGGCAUGACGUCUCCUUCACAUGGAGAAGAUUGAGGGUUCAAAUCCCUCUAGGCCCA
This 72-nucleotide transfer RNA is filed under the name Conexivisphaerales archaeon. Its description in RNAcentral is "tRNA-Val". It matches the Rfam family "tRNA". Rfam says of the family: Transfer RNA (tRNA) molecules are approximately 80 nucleotides in length. RNAcentral also lists the same sequence under 1 other name. Lineage: Archaea; Thermoproteati; Nitrososphaerota; Conexivisphaeria; Conexivisphaerales. The record is from RNAcentral.